AAGAGCCGGAUGCGGAAAAGCCGCACGUCCGGAAUUCUGUGAGGGGCAGAGGGAGCAAUCCCCCUGUCUACUCAAC
Molecule: unclassified non-coding RNA, 76 nt
Filed under: Oribacterium sp. WCC10
Lineage: Bacteria; Bacillati; Bacillota; Clostridia; Lachnospirales; Lachnospiraceae
Source: RNAcentral